RNAcentral lists this ribosomal RNA (368 nucleotides) under uncultured eukaryote. Its description in RNAcentral is "partial 18S ribosomal RNA". It matches the Rfam family "Eukaryotic small subunit ribosomal RNA", at positions 592 to 976 of the family's 1831-position model. The record is from RNAcentral.
CAGUAGCGUAUAUUAAAGUUGUUGCAGUUAAAAUGCUCGUAGUUGAAGUUCGGAUGCAGCAGAGCUUGGAAACGCUGUUAUGGUGCUUCCGUUGCUUUUGCUUGUCCACAGUGCGUUGCAAGUACGUAUGUGCUUGUGCGUGCAUUUUACUCUGAGAAACAUAGGGUGUUCCACGCAUGUUACGGCAUGAAUAUUCCAGCAUGGGAUAAUCUGGUACGACUUCCAAUCUGCCAUUUUGGUUCGUAGGUUGGAAGUAAUGAUUAAUAGGGACUGUCGGGGGCAUUGGUAUUUGACUGUCAGAGGUGAAAUUCUUAGAUUCGUUGAGGACCAACCACUGCGAAAGCAUUUGUCAAGGAUGUCUCCAUUAA